This 79-nucleotide transfer RNA is filed under the name Streptomyces xanthophaeus. RNAcentral describes it as "tRNA-Trp". Lineage: Bacteria; Bacillati; Actinomycetota; Actinomycetes; Kitasatosporales; Streptomycetaceae. The record is from RNAcentral.
UGCCGACGCUGGCCGAGCUGGCCGCGCAGCGGCAGGUCCAGCCCGCUUCGGACGCGGGUUCGUACCUCGUCGUGGGCAG